RNAcentral lists this transfer RNA (72 nucleotides) under Thermoleophilia bacterium. RNAcentral describes it as "tRNA-Cys". It matches the Rfam family "tRNA". Rfam says of the family: Transfer RNA (tRNA) molecules are approximately 80 nucleotides in length. The record is from RNAcentral. Lineage: Bacteria; Bacillati; Actinomycetota; Thermoleophilia.
GGCGACGUGGCGAAGUGGGAACGCUGAGGUCUGCAAAACCUCCAUGAGUCGGUUCGAUUCCGACCGUCGCCU